Molecule: unclassified non-coding RNA, 247 nt
Filed under: Hevea brasiliensis (rubber tree)
Lineage: Eukaryota; Viridiplantae; Streptophyta; Magnoliopsida; Malpighiales; Euphorbiaceae
Source: RNAcentral
GUCUUUAACUAUAUGGGCAAGAGCUCUCUCAUAAAUGGAUAAGAAUUCCUUCAUUUUGAAUUUUAUGUCCUUACUCCACUUUAGGCCGAAGUUUCUCUCCACUGCAAUGGGUAAAAAGCCCUCAUCAAUGGGCAGAGCCAAAUCUGCAACAAUUGGCAAGACCCUUCUCUAUAAUGGGUGACAGCCUCUCUCAAUGAGAUGAAAGCCAAAUAACCUUUUACACCAUUCUCCUAUUUAUAGUGUUAAU